RNAcentral lists this long non-coding RNA (307 nucleotides) under Mustela putorius furo (domestic ferret). RNAcentral describes it as "lncRNA (ENSMPUG00000031758.1)". Lineage: Eukaryota; Metazoa; Chordata; Mammalia; Carnivora; Mustelidae. The record is from RNAcentral.
AGUCGUUCAUGCUGCUGUCUGUUUUCUAGUGUUCCAGUUGCCUUUUAAGUCUUUAUUUUUCUGCGUGUUCAAGAUGAAUGUUUAAUAUUUUUCCAGAGAGACAUAUCUUGACACAACUUCAGGCAAAAGAGUAUGAAAGACCUGUGAACAAUCUGAGAUCAAUUCCCAUUCCUGUUGGUUGUCUAACACUACAAUUUAAGAGCUUUCUUUUCAUGCUUGGAUAAAUGGAAAGGGAAAGAAUAUCAUCAGGACUCAGUAGAAAGUCUCCCUUGAUACAAAUUUAUUCAUGAAAUAUAACAUUUUAAAG